This 497-nucleotide ribosomal RNA is filed under the name uncultured bacterium. RNAcentral describes it as "partial 16S ribosomal RNA". It matches the Rfam family "Bacterial small subunit ribosomal RNA", at positions 28 to 507 of the family's 1533-position model. The record is from RNAcentral.
GAUGAACGCUGGCGGCGUGCCUAAUACAUGCAAGUCGAGCGAACGGACGAGAAGCUUGCUUCUCUGAUGUUAGCGGCGGACGGGUGAGUAACACGUGGAUAACCUACCUAUAAGACUGGGAUAACUUCGGGAAACCGUAGCUAAUACCGGAUAAUAUUUUGAACCGCAUGGUUCAAAAGUGAAAGACGGUCUUGCUGUCACUUAUAGAUUGAUCCGCGCUGCAUUAGCUAGUUGGUAAGGUAACGGCUUACCAAGGCAACGAUGCAUAGCCGACCUGAGAGGGUGAUCGGCCACACUGGAACUGAGACACGGUCCAGACUCCUACGGGAGGCAGCAGUAGGGAAUCUUCCGCAAUGGGCGAAAGCCUGACGGAGCAACGCCGCGUGAGAGAUGAAGGUCUUCGGAUCGUAAAACUCUGUUAUUAGGGAAGAACAUAUGUGUAAGUAACUGUGCACAUCUUGACGGUACCUAAUCAGAAAGCCACGGCUAACUACGUG